CGAUGUAUAGGAGCUGACGCCUGCCCGGUGCUGGAAGGUUAAGGGGAUCUGUUAGAGCAAUCGAAGCAGUGAACUUAAGCCCCAGUAAACGGCGGCCGGAACUAUAACGGUCCUAAGGUAGCGAAAUUCCUUGUCGGGUAAGUUCCGACCCGCACGAAAGGCGUAACGAUUUGGGCACUGUCUCAACAACAGACUCGGUGAAAUUGUAAUUCCGGUGAAGAUGCCGGAUACCUGCGACAGGACGGA
RNAcentral lists this ribosomal RNA (246 nucleotides) under Clostridioides difficile. RNAcentral describes it as "partial 23S ribosomal RNA". It matches the Rfam family "Bacterial large subunit ribosomal RNA", at positions 1839 to 2084 of the family's 2925-position model. Lineage: Bacteria; Bacillati; Bacillota; Clostridia; Peptostreptococcales; Peptostreptococcaceae. The record is from RNAcentral.